This is a long non-coding RNA of Helianthus annuus (common sunflower), 561 nucleotides long. RefSeq lists it as uncharacterized. Lineage: Eukaryota; Viridiplantae; Streptophyta; Magnoliopsida; Asterales; Asteraceae. The record is from RefSeq and is a predicted model, not a curated record. The transcript has 3 exons.
UCGUAACGUUUGGUUAACGUAUGGACUCCAAAAUUAAUACCAGUAAACUCGUAAUUAAGAGGAUUAAUGAUUUCGCUUCAUGAAUCAUAUCCUAACCAUCCGAAACCAAGGUGAAUAAUAAGAAAUUUGUUUACCAUGGAAGCUCUUUGAAGAACGAUUUGGGAUUUUCUUCAACUCGUAGAAUUGACCUGCAAAUCUUAUACCAUUUUAAUCCUCUGUAAAAACCAUACAAAACCCCACUGAAAUUUCUCCAUUUCAUCACCUCUGCGUCAUGAAUUUAAUCGAAGAACAUUCUAGGGCUUGUAACUUGUGCGGACGAUAUCUCCUUCAAUUCUCAACCUUUUCAGAUAUAAACCGUUCCUUUUUGUGCGAUGCAUUCUCGUGGAUUAACUCUUCGCAACCUGUUUUCAAAGUUGAUGUUCAAGUGAUGUGGACACAUAGCAUGGGCCUUAGGAAAAUAAAUUGAAAUCUUGAUAUGUUUGUAUUGAACAAUGUAUGAACAAUUUUGAUUAUUAUAUGAUAUGUGACUAUUUAAAUGGAUAUGCUUUAAAUCUUGAAACA